UCAGGUUUUGUAAUUGGAAUGAGUACAAUCUAAAUCUCUUAACGAGUAGCAAUUGGAGGGCAAGUCUGGUGCCAGCAGCCGCGGUAAUUCCAGCUCCAAUAGCGUAUAUUAAAGUUGUUGCAGUUAAAAAGCUCGUAGUUGGAUUUCUGGCAGGAGUGACCGGUCACGCACUCUGUGCGUGAACUUGUGUUGUCUCUGGCCAUCCUUGGGGAGAUCCUAUUUGGCAUUAAGUUGUCGGGUAGGGGAUACCCAUCGUUUACUGUGAAAAAAUUAGAGUGUUUAAAGCAGGCUUAUGUCGUUGAAUAUAUUAGCAUGGAAUAAUAAGAUAGGACUUCGGAACUAUUUUGUUGGUUUGCGUUACGAAGUAAUGAUUAAUAGGGACAGUUGGGGGUAUUCGUAUUCCGUUGUCAGAGGUGAAAUUCUUGGAUUUCCGGAAGACGAACUACUGCGAAAGCAUUUACCAAGGAUGUUUUCAUUAAUCAAGAACGAAAGUUAGGGGAUCGAAGAUGAUUAGAUACCAUCGUAGUCUUAACCAUAAACUAUGCCGACU
This 550-nucleotide ribosomal RNA is filed under the name uncultured diatom. RNAcentral describes it as "SSU rRNA". It matches the Rfam family "Eukaryotic small subunit ribosomal RNA", at positions 496 to 1047 of the family's 1831-position model. The record is from RNAcentral. Lineage: Eukaryota; Bacillariophyta.